GUGUUCCUCACUGGAGAGUGGCGCUGAAAUUGAGCGCUCACCGAAGGGGCAAGUCUGGCAACUCGGGUUCGCCGGAUCAAUCUCUCAGGUACCCAGGACAGCGAGGGGUUG
Thiomonas intermedia K12 is the source of this 111-nucleotide non-coding RNA. The record is from Rfam. Lineage: Bacteria; Pseudomonadati; Pseudomonadota; Betaproteobacteria; Burkholderiales.